GAGCCUUUAGCUCAGUUGGUUAGAGCAGUCCGCUCAUAACGGAUAGGUCGUAGGUUCAAGUCCUACAAGGCUCACCA
Molecule: transfer RNA, 77 nt
Filed under: Thermoplasmata archaeon M11B2D
Lineage: Archaea; Methanobacteriati; Thermoplasmatota; Thermoplasmata
Also listed under: 1 other name
Description: tRNA-Met
Rfam family: tRNA
About the family: Transfer RNA (tRNA) molecules are approximately 80 nucleotides in length. Their secondary structure includes four short double-helical elements and three loops (D, anti-codon, and T loops).
Source: RNAcentral